RNAcentral lists this ribosomal RNA (440 nucleotides) under uncultured bacterium. RNAcentral's name for it is "partial 16S ribosomal RNA". It matches the Rfam family "Bacterial small subunit ribosomal RNA", at positions 338 to 795 of the family's 1533-position model. The record is from RNAcentral.
CCUACGGGAGGCAGCAGUGGGGGAUAUUGCACAAUGGGGGGAACCCUGAUGCAGCGACGCCGCGUGGGUGAAGAAGCGCCUCGGCGCGUAAAGCCCUGUCAGCAGGGAAGAAAAUGACGGUACCUGAAGAAGAAGCCCCGGCUACCUACGUGCCAGCAGCCGCGGUAAUACGUAGGGGGCAAGCGUUAUCCGGAUUUACUGGGUGUAACGGGGGCGCAGACGGCGAUGCAAGCCAGGAGUGAAAGCCCGGGGCCCACCCCCGGGACUGCUCUUGGAACGGCGUGGCUGGGGUGCAGGAGGGUCAGGCGCGAUUCCUGGUGUAGCGGUGAAAUGCGUCGAUAUCAGGAGGAACCCCGGUGGCGACGGCGGCCUGCUGGACUGCAACUGACGUUGCGGCCCGCACGCGUGGGGAGCAAACAGGAUUAGAUACCCCAGUAGUC